This 210-nucleotide unclassified non-coding RNA is filed under the name Glomeraceae sp. RNAcentral describes it as "partial internal transcribed spacer 2". The stretch from base 1 to 72 matches the Rfam family "5.8S ribosomal RNA", at positions 84 to 154 of the family's 154-position model. Lineage: Eukaryota; Fungi; Glomeromycota; Glomeromycetes; Glomerales; Glomeraceae. The record is from RNAcentral.
GUGAAUCAUCAAAUUUUUGAACGCAAAUUGCACUCUCCGGUUUUCCGGGGGCGGAUGCCUGGUUGGGGGUCAAAUUAACAAAUAAUCGAGGGUGCUGCGGUGGCGGCUCUUCGGAAUUGGGUCAUCUUUAACCUUUCGGGUGUAAGCGAGCUAAAAUUUUUUUUACGAUUUUUACGAAACUGUCUAAGAAUUUCUUGUAUGAUAACGACA